Molecule: ribosomal RNA, 420 nt
Filed under: Lactococcus lactis
Lineage: Bacteria; Bacillati; Bacillota; Bacilli; Lactobacillales; Streptococcaceae
Description: bacterial SSU rRNA
Rfam family: Bacterial small subunit ribosomal RNA
Source: RNAcentral
GACGAACGCUGGCGGCGUGCCUAAUACAUGCAAGUUGAGCGCUGAAGGUUGGUACUUGUACCAACUGGAUGAGCAGCGAACGGGUGAGUAACGCGUGGGGAAUCUGCCUUUGAGCGGGGGACAACAUUUGGAAACGAAUGCUAAUACCGCAUAAAAACUUUAAACACAAGUUUUAAGUUUGAAAGAUGCAAUUGCAUCACUCAAAGAUGAUCCCGCGUUGUAUUAGCUAGUUGGUGAGGUAAAGGCUCACCAAGGCGAUGAUACAUAGCCGACCUGAGAGGGUGAUCGGCCACAUUGGGACUGAGACACGGCCCAAACUCCUACGGGAGGCAGCAGUAGGGAAUCUUCGGCAAUGGACGAAAGUCUGACCCGAGCAAACGCCCGCGUGAGUGAAGAAAGGUUUUUCGGAUUCGUAAAAAC